RNAcentral lists this non-coding RNA (176 nucleotides) under marine eukaryotic metagenome. The record is from RNAcentral.
GUUCGGGGGGAUGAAACGGGAAGCCGGUGCGUUGUACAAAAAGUGCAUACAAACCCGGCGCUGCCCCCGCAACGGUAAACGAGUCAGGUUCUGCAACAUGCCACUGUGUCUUGACAUGGGAAGGCGCAGAACAGGAAAUUUUCCACUCGUGAGUCCGGAGACCGGCCUGGAAAUCU